GCGCGUGUAGCUCAGGGGAUAGAGCGAGGGCGUCCUAAGCCCUGCGUCGGGGGUUCGAAUCCCUCCACGCGCA
RNAcentral lists this transfer RNA (73 nucleotides) under Chloroflexota bacterium. Its description in RNAcentral is "tRNA-Arg". It matches the Rfam family "tRNA". Rfam says of the family: Transfer RNA (tRNA) molecules are approximately 80 nucleotides in length. Their secondary structure includes four short double-helical elements and three loops (D, anti-codon, and T loops). Further hydrogen bonds mediate the characteristic L-shaped molecular structure. tRNAs have two regions of fundamental functional importance: the anti-codon, which is responsible for specific mRNA codon recognition, and the 3' end, to which the tRNAs corresponding amino acid is attached (by aminoacyl-tRNA synthetases). tRNAs cope with the degeneracy of the genetic code in two manners: having more than one tRNA (with a specific anti-codon) for a particular amino acid; and 'wobble' base-pairing, i.e. permitting non-standard base-pairing at the 3rd anti-codon position. Lineage: Bacteria; Bacillati; Chloroflexota. RNAcentral also lists the same sequence under 2 other names. The record is from RNAcentral.